AAACAAUACAUUUUCAAUAGAUAAUUGUUGUUUAAUGUGUUAAUGUUGUUAUUUGAUUUAAAUAUUGGAAAACUUCACCCUUUUAUAAAAAGGCCUCAUAUCAUACAGGCGGAGAAAUAUACAACACAAUUAAAUGUACACAACCUGUGGAAAACCGCAAUCGAUGGUGAACGAAUUUGUUUGAGAAUGAACUAAACUAUCAACAAUAAGCAUAAAACAUAAUGAUUUACAGUUGCAAACCCA
This 243-nucleotide long non-coding RNA is filed under the name Mytilus galloprovincialis (Mediterranean mussel). Lineage: Eukaryota; Metazoa; Mollusca; Bivalvia; Mytilida; Mytilidae. The record is from RNAcentral.